This 78-nucleotide transfer RNA is filed under the name bacterium. Its description in RNAcentral is "tRNA-Glu". It matches the Rfam family "tRNA". Rfam says of the family: Transfer RNA (tRNA) molecules are approximately 80 nucleotides in length. The record is from RNAcentral.
GCCGCCUUCGUCUAGCCUGGUCUAGGACGACGGGUUCUCAGCCCGCAAACACCGGUUCAAAUCCGGUAGGCGGCACCA